GAGGGUAUAGCUCAAGUGGUAGAGUGCAUACUUAGCAUGCACAAGGUCCUGGGUUCAAUCCCCAGUACCUCCU
RNAcentral lists this transfer RNA (73 nucleotides) under Camelus bactrianus (Bactrian camel). It matches the Rfam family "tRNA". Rfam says of the family: Transfer RNA (tRNA) molecules are approximately 80 nucleotides in length. Their secondary structure includes four short double-helical elements and three loops (D, anti-codon, and T loops). RNAcentral also lists the same sequence under 3 other names. The record is from Rfam by way of RNAcentral. Lineage: Eukaryota; Metazoa; Chordata; Mammalia; Artiodactyla; Camelidae.